RNAcentral lists this ribosomal RNA (465 nucleotides) under Vreelandella stevensii. Its description in RNAcentral is "partial 16S ribosomal RNA". It matches the Rfam family "Bacterial small subunit ribosomal RNA", at positions 338 to 795 of the family's 1533-position model. Lineage: Bacteria; Pseudomonadati; Pseudomonadota; Gammaproteobacteria; Oceanospirillales; Halomonadaceae. The record is from RNAcentral.
CCUACGGGGGGCUGCAGUGGGGAAUAUUGGACAAUGGGGGGAACCCUGAUCCAGCCAUGCCGCGUGUGUGAAGAAGGCCCUCGGGUUGUAAAGCACUUUCAGUGAGGAAGAACGCCUGGUGGUUAAUACCCAUCAGGAAAGACAUCACUCACAGAAGAAGCACCGGCUAACUCCGUGCCAGCAGCCGCGGUAAUACGGAGGGUGCGAGCGUUAAUCGGAAUUACUGGGCGUAAAGCGCGCGUAGGUGGCUUGAUAAGCCGGUUGUGAAAGCCCCGGGCUCAACCUGGGAACGGCAUCCGGAACUGUCAAGCUAGAGUGCAGGAGAGGAAGGUAGAAUUCCCGGUGUAGCGGUGAAAUGCGUAGAGAUCGGGAGGAAUACCAGUGGCGAAGGCGGCCUUCUGGACUGACACUGACACUGAGGUGCGAAAGCGUGGGUAGCAAACAGGAUUAGAGACCCUAGUAGUC